Macrobrachium nipponense is the source of this 862-nucleotide long non-coding RNA. RefSeq lists it as uncharacterized. The transcript has 3 exons. Lineage: Eukaryota; Metazoa; Arthropoda; Malacostraca; Decapoda; Palaemonidae. The record is from RefSeq and is a predicted model, not a curated record.
GCCUAGUAAUUGCCUACUCAGUUACUCAUCAACCGUCACCCCGAUGAGAGUGGUGCAGAAAGCUCAUGACGAUUUCGCACUCGCAGGAGGAAAUGCUUUUUGAUUGAGUUCACUGAACUGUACAAGGAGCGCCCAUGACUGUGGAAAGAGAAAAAGACCGAAAUAUAGUGAUUGGAAUAACGGAAGAGCAGCAUACAAUAUUACUGUGGCAAUCUCAAAGAGAGUAACGCCACAGCUGCGCGAAAUUAAGUGACGAAGAACUCAGUGAGAAAAACUGUAUGUAUGGAACAUAAAAUGGUGGUGAUCUCAGUGUUACAUGGUCCCUAUAUAAGACAAUACGAUCUUCUUAUGUUCAUCAAGGAUCAAGAAAUAGCUCGAUUCCUAGUACUAGUAAUAAUGAGUGCUUGCAAUGGUCGGAGGAACGAACCAUCCUGGCUUCUGGAGAUAAAAUCAGUCAUUGAUUGAUCCAGGCAAUGUUGGAGGCUAAGUAGGACAUCUGAUUAAAAUAUAGUUUAUCGUGAUUUAGUGUGUUGAUCUAUAUCCGUUCUUAGUUUAAUAUAAAUUGCUGUUAUAUUUGAUAGCAUAAGUAGACACUGAUUAGUGGAUGUGGCCUAAGUAGUGACACUGGAAAAAAAUAUAUAAAAAUAAAAUUAUAAUAGUGAAUUAAAGAGAAAUGUACGUCCUAAUCUGACAAUUACAUUUAAAAUCAACUGAUGAAGCUGAACUAAAAAAUAAAAACAAUAAAUAUAAGUGAAUGACGUUAGUGUAAGGGUAUCCAUCCAUACACAAAUUUCCACGGGAACUCCGACGUCACUUUUCUGGUGAAGCCAGUCACAUCGGUUUGCAUAAAGGUAAGAUUAUA